RNAcentral lists this ribosomal RNA (455 nucleotides) under uncultured bacterium. RNAcentral's name for it is "bacterial SSU rRNA". It matches the Rfam family "Bacterial small subunit ribosomal RNA", at positions 340 to 786 of the family's 1533-position model. The record is from RNAcentral.
UACGGGAGGCAGCAGUGGGGAAUAUUGCACAAUGGGCGAAAGCCUGAUGCAGCUAUGCCGCGUGUAUGAAGAAGGCCUUAGGGUUGUAAAGUACUUUCAUCGGGGAGGAAAAACAAAACUAAUAAUUUUAUUUCUUGACGUUACCCGAAAAAGAAGCACCGGCUAACUCCGUGCCAGCAGCCGCGGUAAUACGGAGGGUGCUAGCGUUAAUCAGAAUUACUGGGCGUAAAGAGCACGUAGGUGGUUUUUUUAAGUCAGAUGUGAAAUCCCUGGGCUUAACCUAGGAACUGCAUUUUGAAACUGAAAUACUAGAGUAUCGUAGAGGGAGGUAGAAUUCUAGGUGUAGCGGUGAAAUGCGUAGAUAUCUGGAGGAAUACCUGUGGCGAAAGCGGCCUCCUAAACGAAUACUGACACUGAGGUGCGAAAGCGUGGGGAGCAAACAGGGAUUAGAUACC